This 253-nucleotide ribosomal RNA is filed under the name uncultured bacterium. RNAcentral describes it as "partial 16S ribosomal RNA". It matches the Rfam family "Bacterial small subunit ribosomal RNA", at positions 524 to 776 of the family's 1533-position model. The record is from RNAcentral.
UACGUAGGGGGCGAGUGUUCUCCGGAAUUAUUGGGCGUAAAGGGCACGCAGGCGGUCUCGCAGGUGUGGGGUACCAGCUUCUGGCUUCACCAGAAGAAGCCUCCGCAAACGGCGAGACUUGAGAACGAGAGAGGGACAUGGAAUUCCGGGUGGAGCAGUGAAAUGCGUAGAGACUCGGAGGAACACCAAAGGCGAAGGCAGUGUCCUGGCUCGUUUCUGACGCUCAGGUGCGAAAGCCAGGGGAGCGAACGGG